Molecule: small RNA, 143 nt
Organism: Legionella israelensis
Lineage: Bacteria; Pseudomonadati; Pseudomonadota; Gammaproteobacteria; Legionellales; Legionellaceae
Rfam family: isrN Hfq binding RNA
Source: Rfam
CAAUAACGCCUUCAUCAGAUUGGCUAUCCGGCUUAUAUCGAUAAACUGAGUCGCUGAUACCCACAACCUUACACGCCCGGCGUAAACUCACAGUAUGAGCAUUCACUGCAUAAUCAACCAGCUCCCGUCUCACAGAUGGCUUC